AUUGAACGCUGGCGGCACGCUUUACACACGCAAGUCGAACGGUAACAGGCCGCAAGGUGCUGACGAGUGGCGCACGGGUGAGUAAUGCAUCGGAACGUGCCCAGUCGUGGGGGAUAACUACUCGAAAGAGUAGCUAAUACCGCAUACGAUCUAUGGAUGAAAGCGGGGGACCGUAAGGCCUCGCGCGAUUGGAGCGGCCGAUGUCAGAUUAGGUAGUUGGUGGGGUAAAGGCUCACCAAGCCAACGAUCUGUAGCUGGUCUGAGAGGACGACCAGCCACACUGGGACUGAGACACGGCCCAGACUCCUACGGGAGGCAGCAGUGGGGAAUUUUGGACAAUGGGCGCAAGCCUGAUCCAGCAAUGCCGCGUGCAGGAAGAAGGCCUUCGGGUUGUAAACUGCUUUUGUACGGAACGAAACGGCUCUGGUUAAUACCCGGGGCUAAUGACGGUACCGUAAGAAUAAGCACCGGCUAACUACGUG
RNAcentral lists this ribosomal RNA (482 nucleotides) under uncultured bacterium. RNAcentral describes it as "partial 16S ribosomal RNA". It matches the Rfam family "Bacterial small subunit ribosomal RNA", at positions 30 to 507 of the family's 1533-position model. The record is from RNAcentral.